This is an RNA transcript of Argiope bruennichi, 2330 nucleotides long. It is a transcript of the gene named homeobox protein six1-like, with no coding region annotated. NCBI's taxonomy places the organism in Eukaryota, Metazoa, Arthropoda, Arachnida, Araneae, Araneidae. The record is from RefSeq and is a predicted model, not a curated record. The transcript has 3 exons.
UGAAGCGCUGAUGGUAAACGAUAACAUCAAUUUGAAUCAGCUGCUUGUAGACUUCAACCACAGCGACUUUCACAGAAGCUCUCCCCGCGCGGAGGAAGGGAAAGAUCUUACGCUGCCUUUUCGCGACAACAUUUUAACGGCAAUUGCGGUAAGACGACGGUUGUCUGGUCAAGCAACUUUACUCAGCUUCGGCGGACUGGUUUUUUUAGAGAAAAGAGACGGCACUUUACCCAAAGAAUGUGUAGAAGUUAGUGAAUGAUUAAUUGCCGCAAAGUUUCUUUAUGGCUACACGCAGUAGCUGAUGCGCCUAAAUGAAACUCAUUAGAAGUUGAUGAAAUAAUUAAUAAUUACUUUUUCAUCUGCGUGUUACAGCGUUCAAUUGUUGAAAUAGGCUCGAGUUCAAAUUAUUUAUUUAAUCAGCACUGGAAGAUGAAACAUAAAACUUUCACUCUCAGUCAAGAGACUGGAAUUUGAAUUGUAGACUUACAAAAUAUAGACUAUUGAGAGAGAAAAAAUCAAAGAACCUGCAUGGCGUAAUCGUUGUUAUUUAUAAGAAUCGUCAUGGUAAAUUAUCCUUUCAUUAUCUUCAAAAAUAUGGCGUCAUUAUUAGCUAAUUGAAUUCAUUUGUUUGAAGAUCAGUUUUCACUAUGCAGUACAGGAGAGAAACCAGGCAUGGCCGAUAUCCAGAUCAUCCCAAAUAAGGAACUUUGAUCAGCCAUCGAUUCCAAACUGGCUUCCCGUUUCUUAUUGCAUCCAGUCUGCUCGUUGCAGGAUAGGGACUGGGACAGGGUCAACUACUGCCACCACCACCCUUCAUCUCUCGCUCCUGGUGCAGGACUCCCGGCCAGUACUGGUCAUCUAGUGGACACUUGUGGUGAGAACAAAGCAUCCGACCUGAUGAUUGUCAGUCAUAUGGCCGAGUCUGCGGCCCUUGCGGCGGCCCAGCUGCCCAGCAUGGCGACGGGAAUGAUUCCCACGCCAACCCCCUGCACAACAUCAGUGAAUCCUGCAAGUCCAAGCACGAUGCUGCCUUCUUUCGGAUUCACUCAAGAACAAGUGGCAUGCGUCUGUGAAGUCCUGCAACAGUCCGGCAACAUUGAAAGACUGGGUCGGUUUCUCUGGUCUCUUCCAGCAUGCGAACACCUGCAAAAGAACGAAAGCGUGUUGAAGGCAAAAUCUCUGGUGGCGUUCCACAGAGGGAACUUUAAAGAACUGUACAGGAUUCUGGAAAGUCAUAACUUCUCGCCAGCGUCUCAUCCCAAACUUCAAGCGCUAUGGCUGAAGGCUCACUACAUAGAGGCCGAGAGACUAAGGGGUAGGCCACUGGGUGCAGUGGGCAAAUACAGAAUCAGGAGAAAAUUCCCGCUCCCCAGGACUAUAUGGGAUGGGGAGGAGACCAGCUACUGCUUCAAAGAAAAAUCCAGGAACAUCCUGCGAGAGUGGUAUGCUCACAAUCCGUAUCCGUCGCCUCGGGAGAAAAGAGAACUUGCCGAGGGCACCGGGCUGACCACGACACAAGUUAGCAACUGGUUCAAAAACAGACGGCAGAGAGACAGAGCAGCUGAAGCCAAAGAAAGGGAGCCAGGUGACAAACCCAAAACUCCUAGUUCUACUAGCAGUACCAAACAAGAUAGCAGCCCUUCUGAUAAAAACGACCGUCGUCCAUCUUCUUCGGACAACCAUCACAGUGGUCCGCACAGUGGUCAUCACUCCCUGAACCUGGACUCGGACACUGCACCCCUUGGAUGCUGCAGCAGUGAUAGCUCCAACGGCAUGUUCAGUAGUUCUGAAAUGACAAAACUCAGCCCCACCCACCCAGCGUUCGUAUCGGCCGGACCGACGCAAGGUUCCGCGGGAGGCGGUGCGGGACACUCCGCCGCUGCUCUGGCGGCAGCUGCAGCGGCAGGCUUCCGCCUGGGUCCCAUCGGCGAUCUCUCGGUGGCGCUGCCGAACAACUUCAUUUCAAACCACCUUAACGACCUGAGUCUAGGCCUAACGACUGCAGGAGCGGAUUAUCAUCAGCCAUUAUGACAACAAACAGCCGGUGGGGGGACAAGUGCACUGGCUGCCCAUCACCAGGUAGCCAAUGCAGUGACCACCGCCGGUACUGGUACUAAUCCGAUGUGUGUGAUAGUGACCAGUGAAGGACUCUUACCUUAUAGGAACUCUUUGGCCACGCAACCAAGCCUGGUCAUGCAAAAAAACCAAUGGGAGAAAUCACCCGAAGUUUCCUCGCAUACGGUCCAAUAAAGAGCUUAACACGUUAUAACCACACAAAAAUUGGAUAAUGGAUUUGGACCUUGGAUAAGGCCAUGUAUGCCUUGUGCGAG